GAUGAAUAACGUAGCGAAAUGCGAUAAGUAGUGUGAAUUGCAGAAUUCAGUGAAUCAUCGAAUCUUUGAACGCACAUUGCGCCUUCUAGUAUUCUGGGAGGCAUGCCUGUUUGAGCGUCAUUAAACCUCUCUCAAGUAUGAUUACUUGGAUGUGAAGGAAGAGUACCUUAAACUUAAGGAGUGUUCUCCUUUGAAAUUGAUUAGCAGAUGGUAAUGUUAUUAAAUCCCUGAUGUUGUAAGAAAUAACAGUGGUUUUGUAGACUAUUAUCUAGCUUUAAAUUAUAAUUUUUAUUAUGGUUGACCUCAAAUCAGGUAAGGAUUCCCGCUGAACUUAAGCAUAUCAAUAAGCGGAGGA
This 355-nucleotide unclassified non-coding RNA is filed under the name soil metagenome. RNAcentral describes it as "partial contains 5.8S ribosomal RNA, internal transcribed spacer 2, and large subunit ribosomal RNA". The stretch from base 1 to 120 matches the Rfam family "5.8S ribosomal RNA", at positions 35 to 154 of the family's 154-position model. The record is from RNAcentral.